GCGCUAAUCGUCUAGUGGUUAGGAUGGCUCCCUUCCAUAAGGAGUCGACCGGCGUUCGAAUCGCCGUUGGCGCA
Molecule: transfer RNA, 74 nt
Filed under: Cryptococcus deneoformans B-3501A
Lineage: Eukaryota; Fungi; Basidiomycota; Tremellomycetes; Tremellales; Cryptococcaceae
Description: tRNA-Gly
Source: RNAcentral